AAGCGGUGAGCAUGUGGUUUAAUUCGAAGCAACGCGAAAGAACCUUACCAGGUCUUGACAUCCCGAUGCUAUUCUAGAGAUAGAAAGUUACUUCGGUACAUCGGUGACAGGUGGUGCAUGGUUGUCGUCAGCUCGUGUCGUGAGAUGUUGGGUUAAGUCCCGCAACGAGCGCAACCCCUAUUGUUAGUUGCCAUCAUUCAGUUGGGCACUCUAGCGAGACUGCCGGUAAUAAACCGGAGGAAGGUGGGAUGACGUCAAAUCAUCAUGCCCCUUAUGACCUGGGCUACACACGUGCUACAAUGGUUGGUACAACGAGUUGCGAGUCGGUGACGGCGAGCUAAUCUCUUAAAGCCAAUCUCAGUUCGGAUUGUAGGCUGCAACUCGCCUACAUGAAGUCGGAAUCGCUAGUAAUCGCGGAUCAGCACGCCGCGGUGAAUACGUUCCCGGGCCUU
RNAcentral lists this ribosomal RNA (452 nucleotides) under uncultured Streptococcus sp. RNAcentral describes it as "bacterial SSU rRNA". It matches the Rfam family "Bacterial small subunit ribosomal RNA", at positions 927 to 1382 of the family's 1533-position model. The record is from RNAcentral. Lineage: Bacteria; Bacillati; Bacillota; Bacilli; Lactobacillales; Streptococcaceae.